Molecule: long non-coding RNA, 892 nt
Organism: Myotis lucifugus (little brown bat)
Lineage: Eukaryota; Metazoa; Chordata; Mammalia; Chiroptera; Vespertilionidae
Exons: 5
Source: RefSeq, a predicted model, not a curated record
AGCAGAAGCUGGGAAUAGAGAUGGGCUUAUACCAACAGAAACACUGCCAGAUGGGACUAAAGAGGACAGAAAAAUUGAGAUGAAAGGAAGACCACCAGACUUCUUAUAUCCUAUGGAGAAGGACCAUAGAGUUCUUCAGCUGUGAACAUGCACUAUUCUUUCAGAAAGGGAAGAAUGACUCUGAAGUUUCUUCAUGGAUUUAAAAGGAGCUUCAUCUUUAUUCUGCACAUGGUUUCCCUGCUGAGUCACUCUCAGGCUCUUCUUGACCUUCAAAUCACGAGGAUUUGUACUGCUUGCUUGGAAGGAAUUUUAACAGGACUGAUGAAAUUAAGAAGAUGACUUGAUAAAACUCACCAGGUAGCUUAGAUGUUUAGGACCAAUUGAGAGACACAAGAAGCAGAAAGGCGGAGAUGAAAAAAGUAUCUGUUUUGCCUGGCUGGUGUGGCUCAGCAAUUGAGCAUCGACCCAGGAACCAAGAGAUCCCCGGUUCGAUUCCUAGUCAGGGCACAUGCCCAGGUUGCAGGCUCAAUCCCCAGUGGAGGCCAUGCAGGAGACAGAAUUACCAACUGAUCCAGGAGUGGGGAAAGAAGCCAAGAGAGUUAUUCUAACAGAAGUACUCCCAAAUGGAAACACGGAGAGAACAGAAUGGAGGACUCCAAUCCCUUCCCACCGCUGCUUAAAAAGGAGAGUAUGACAGAGACAUGAUUAAUCAAGUUAUCAUGAAUGCAUUUCCAGCGUCCCUGCUUUGAAAUCCUGGUUUUACCACUUCUUGGCUCAGUCUCCUCAAUUGGAAUAAGUUAAUUAUACCACUUUUCAGGGUCAUUGUAAUCAUUGCCAAUAAUGUAUGGAAAGUGCCUUGCAUAGUGCCUAGCAUUUAGCAAUUGUUUCUCAA